RNAcentral lists this ribosomal RNA (253 nucleotides) under uncultured bacterium. Its description in RNAcentral is "partial 16S ribosomal RNA". It matches the Rfam family "Bacterial small subunit ribosomal RNA", at positions 524 to 776 of the family's 1533-position model. The record is from RNAcentral.
UACGGAGUGUGCAAGCGUUAUCCGGAUUUACUGGGUUUAAAGGGUGUGUAGGCGGACUUUUAAGUCAGUGGUGAAAUCCCGAGGCUCAACCUCGGAACUGCCUUUGAUACUAUUAGUCUUGAAUCUUGUUGAGGUGGGCGGAACGGGUCAUGUAGCGGUGAAAUGCAUAGAUAUGACCCGGAACACCGAUUGCAAAGGCAGCCCGCUAAGCAAGCAUUGACGCUGAGGCACGAAAGCGUGGGGAUCAAACAGG